This 100-nucleotide small nucleolar RNA is filed under the name Tupaia belangeri chinensis (Chinese tree shrew). RNAcentral's name for it is "Tupaia chinensis (Chinese tree shrew) Small nucleolar RNA U3". It matches the Rfam family "Small nucleolar RNA U3". Rfam says of the family: Small nucleolar RNAs (snoRNAs) are involved in the processing and modification of rRNA in the nucleolus. There are two main classes of snoRNAs: the box C/D class, and the box H/ACA class. The record is from Rfam by way of RNAcentral. Lineage: Eukaryota; Metazoa; Chordata; Mammalia; Scandentia; Tupaiidae.
AAGACUAUAUUUUCAGGGAUCAUUUCUAUAGUUCGUUACUAGAGAAGUUUCUCUGAUCGUGUAGAACAAGGACCAUUAUCUUACACCAUCUCUCUCAAGA